This 966-nucleotide long non-coding RNA is filed under the name Pan troglodytes (chimpanzee). RNAcentral's name for it is "long non-coding RNA NONPTRT014504". Lineage: Eukaryota; Metazoa; Chordata; Mammalia; Primates; Hominidae. The record is from RNAcentral.
CCUGGCGUGGGUGUUACUUGUUUCCCAUUUGCUUGGACUUUCUGCUCUCGGUGGAAAAACCAUCACACACAGUUCACUUGCUCUCACCUUCAAGUUAUUUCCCUCCUCUAGAAUGCUGUACUUCCACCACUGCCAAAUCGUGAACUUUCUCUCCUUCAAUAUCCCACUGAGAACUCACCCCCAGGAUGGGACUCUGCUCACCCUGUCCUCUACUCAAGCAGAAGCCUCUCAGCGAUCAUGUAAAUAACUGUAUAACUUUAAUUGGCUCUGUUUAUAAGCCUCUUAUAUCUUUUUUUCCCUCUAGGUAUUUUUCCAUGUGUUUAUCCUGUCUCCAUUAAUUUGUAAUCUUCCAGAGGGCAAGGCCUGAACACAAGCUUCUGUUUGGUGUAAAGUGGAGGCACAGGCUGCAGGACUGUCUCAGAAGGGAAAUAAUAUUUACCUUCCAAACGGAGAUCUAAAACCCGAACAAAGCCUCAGGAAACAUACUCCACCACCAUCUUACAAGUUUGUGCUACGGGUGGAGGGAAAAUGAAUCUAAUGUAGGAGGCCUCCCGCUGUGCGUCUAGCAGGAAAGACCAUACGGUGCAAGUCUCCAGGAUCACUAGAGGGGUGGAUUGUUCAUUUCAGUCCAGGUAGCAACAGGAAGCCCGUGCAAAUGUUCCUCUCUCACUGCGGGGCUAAGGAGCGUGGGUCCUUUCCCGCGACUACCUGCUUGCCUCUCUCAGAACCUGCAAGUGAAGUGCGGAAGAUCUGUCUAUCUUCUCGGCGGCGCAGAGCCCAAGGUAGAAACGGAUGGAGGCGGUGCACUAGAUAACAUCAAAGCCCCGGGCAGGGGCCAGAAAGGGGGGCACAGGCAGCCCGGGGAAUGAAGCGCCUCCCUCUAGCAUUUCCUCUCACGCCCACUUCCAACCUAGGAGGCUUUUGGUUUCUGCUUUUUUGUUUUUAAAAUUAAAAGUUAAACCCAGG